RNAcentral lists this ribosomal RNA (253 nucleotides) under uncultured bacterium. RNAcentral's name for it is "partial 16S ribosomal RNA". It matches the Rfam family "Bacterial small subunit ribosomal RNA", at positions 524 to 776 of the family's 1533-position model. The record is from RNAcentral.
UACAGAGGUCUCAAGCGUUGUUCGGAUUCAUUGGGCGUAAAGGGUGCGUAGGUGGCGUGGUAAGUCGGGUGUGAAAUUUCGGAGCCUAACUCCGAAACUGCAUUCGAUACUGCUGUGCUUGAGGACUGGAGAGGAGACUGGAAUUUACGGUGUAGCAGUGAAAUGCGUAGAGAUCGUAAGGAAGACCAGUGGCGAAGGCGGGUCUCUGGACAGUUCCUGACACUGAGGCACGAAGGCCAGGGGAGCAAACGGG